CCUACGGGUGGCAGCAGUGAGGAAUAUUGGUCAAUGGACGAGAGUCUGAACCAGCCAAGUAGCGUGCAGGAUGACGGCCCUAUGGGUUGUAAACUGCUUUUAUAUGGGAAUAAAAUGUUUCACGUGUGAGGUUUUGUAUGUACCGUAUGAAUAAGGAUCGGCUAAUUCCGUGCCAGCAGCCGCGGUAAUACGGAGGGUCCGGGCGUUAUCCGGAUUUAUUGGGUUUAGAGGGAGCGUAGGUGGAUUGUUAAGUGAGUUGUGAAAUUUUGCGGCUCAACCGUAAAAUUGCAGUUGAAACUGGCAGGCUUGAGUACAGUAGAGGUGUGCAGAAUUCGUGGUGUAGCGGUGAAAUGCUUAGAUAUCACGAAGAACUCCGAUUGCGAAGGCAGCUCACUGGACUGCAACUGACACUGAGGCUCGAAGGUGUGGGUAUCAAACAGGAUUAGAUACCCUAGUAGUC
RNAcentral lists this ribosomal RNA (460 nucleotides) under uncultured bacterium. RNAcentral's name for it is "partial 16S ribosomal RNA". It matches the Rfam family "Bacterial small subunit ribosomal RNA", at positions 338 to 795 of the family's 1533-position model. The record is from RNAcentral.